AUGCACGCUGGCGGCGUGCCUAAUCCAUGCAAGUCGAGCGAACAGACGAGGAGCUUGCUCCUCUGACGUUAGCGGCGGACGGGUGAGUAACACGUGGAUAACCUACCUAUAAGACUGGGAUAACUUCGGGAAACCGGAGCUAAUACCGGAUAAUAUAUUGAACCGCAUGGUUCAAUAGUGAAAGACGGUUUUGCUGUCACUUAUAGAUGGAUCCGCGCCGCAUUAGCUAGUUGGUAAGGUAACGGCUUACCAAGGCAACGAUGCGUAGCCGACCUGAGAGGGUGAACGGCCACACUGGAACUGAGACACGGUCCAGACUCCUACGGGAGGCAGCAGUAGGGAAUCUUCCGCAAUGGGCGAAAGCCUGACGGAGCAACGCCGCGUGAGUGAUGAAGGUCUUCGGAUCGUAAAACUCUGUUAUUAGGGAAGAACAAAUGUGUAAGUAACUAUGCACGUCUUGACGGUACCUAAUCAGAAAGCCACGGCUAACUACGUG
RNAcentral lists this ribosomal RNA (496 nucleotides) under uncultured bacterium. RNAcentral describes it as "partial 16S ribosomal RNA". It matches the Rfam family "Bacterial small subunit ribosomal RNA", at positions 29 to 507 of the family's 1533-position model. The record is from RNAcentral.